AUCUUUUUCACAUUCUUACGUGGAAAAAAAUAGAGAUCUCGUAAAACUAAAAAAAAAAAAAGUUUCUAAAGGAAAAAAGAGAGACCCAAUACCCACCCACCACAUGUCAAAUAGAGCAUUCUCCUCGCCUAUCUCUCCUCCAAUUUUCCUUUUCAGCCAAAAAACCAGACAACACAAAGACCUCUUCUCCUCGCUCGACUAAGGAGGGAUUUGUCAGAUCUCUUUGGUCGAGCACUACUACAAUGUCGUGCGAAAAGAUUGAUGGUAUUGCGAGGUGGUUCGGGACGAGUGUCGCCUCGGCAUUCUUCGCAUCGUUGGAGCGAUGCGCAUGUGUGAAUCUGACAACAUAUGCAUCUGAUGAUGAGGAAGAAGAAGAAGCUAAAGAUAGGCCUUUGUUUAUGAACAAUUUGCCUUCUCAUGUUGAUCCUUGUCCUCAGGCUCACAAUUCUACCUCCGUUGUCAACCUCCCUGUUUGAUCACCCUCAAGGAACUGGCAUCACCAACUUCGUCAUAUUAAUCCCCUGUCUCCAAACAGAGGAAUUGGAAAUGUAAUUCUGGUAUUAACUGUAAUAUUUUCUUUUGGCCUUAUAGACUGAUUUUUCCCAUGAAGUGUUGUAUGAGGUGUUUGUCCGUUGGCAGUUUUGUUACAAGGUCAAACAUUUAAGCACGAACAAGACGCCUUUUAUUGUUCCUUA
Long non-coding RNA from Lycium ferocissimum, 695 nucleotides. RefSeq lists it as uncharacterized. The transcript has 2 exons. NCBI's taxonomy places the organism in Eukaryota, Viridiplantae, Streptophyta, Magnoliopsida, Solanales, Solanaceae. The record is from RefSeq and is a predicted model, not a curated record.